Molecule: non-coding RNA, 22 nt
Filed under: Arabidopsis thaliana (thale cress)
Lineage: Eukaryota; Viridiplantae; Streptophyta; Magnoliopsida; Brassicales; Brassicaceae
Source: RNAcentral
UACCUUAUUGAUUUCUGGUCCG